Long non-coding RNA from Ostrea edulis (European flat oyster), 2442 nucleotides. RefSeq lists it as uncharacterized. NCBI's taxonomy places the organism in Eukaryota, Metazoa, Mollusca, Bivalvia, Ostreida, Ostreidae. The record is from RefSeq and is a predicted model, not a curated record. The transcript is spliced from 7 exons.
UGCAUGGGUUUAUUUUAAUGAUUUACAAUUUUAUUUAAUUAAGGUCCUUACGUCAGGGUGAAGUUUGUAGACGACGGAAAAGAGAAGAACUAUUCAGAAUUUAGCGGAACAUUCUUGAGUGUUGAUGAUGAUUCAGAGUUGAAUUUCAACUCACUUCAUGUAGGACUGAUUGUUGCAGCGCAGUGGGAAAAUCGACAUUAUGAAGCUAAAGUAGUGCAAGUGCAUAAUCCAGUGCAUAUAGAGACAGAAGAAAUGACAGCUGAAAGGGAACCUGUUACACUUUCAGAGAAGCUACCACUGAAAAAGAGAAAGAUAUCCAGAGGUAAAAAUGAACUUUUUUAAGUUUUAAAAAUUUAUUCAAAAAGAGCUUCCCAAGAUGCUCGUCAGAAGAAGACAGAGGAUGAUGAAAUGAAGGAAAAGAGAAAAGAGAUCGCCCUUGAGAAAAAAAGAAAAAGACUGGCGGUUGCAGCUGCAGCACAGGAUAUGGCUGCCAAACUCUAUUCUAAUAUGCAUAAUUGUCUGAUAGUGGAAGUCAACAAUCAUCAACAAAAAGUGUCAAAAAGCAUAAACCUAAAACCAGACCAAGCAUUGAGUUGGCAGAUUAUUAUGAACUAAAGAAUGAUGAAAGCCCAGAAGAGGGCUAUUCUGUUUUGGCACCAGGUGCAAGUAUAGCGGUCUCAUCCCUAUGGUUGCACUCCAUCCUUUCAUCACUCUCAAAGAAAAGAAAACAAAAGAAGUCAACAGGUUUUGAAAUAAUUAAAAGACUAAUGGAUGGUUUUUAUGAACCAUGGGAUCUUGCCAUGAAGGGUGGCAUUACCCCCUUCAAGGACUCUCCCGUUCAUAAAUCCUUGAAAUGCUAUGCAGAGCAUAAACUCAACAUGGAUUUACCAACCUUCAAUCGUGCGUGGAUGGAGAAGAUGUCUGCGUCAAGGUUGACAAUGAAACGACUCCAAAAGGACAACACCAGUACAUCCUCUCCAUCACAUCAGUAAUUAAUUAGUUUUCUCUGCACUGAUUGUAAAUUUCAAACUAUUAUAGGCGUGCAGUUCCAUUGUUAUCUUAGAUAUAUUUCAUAUAGCUCAACUUGAUUCUACUUGUAAUAAUUUUUUCUUUUCUUUUGAGUUGCAUCUAUUACUUAACUCAGAUUGAUCGAGCUAUUAUAUUAACAUUCAACCUGUGGUUUUGCACUUUAUUGACAUUGAAUAAUUCCCUAAAUAUACUCAGGAGAAUCAAUUUAACAUAAAAUAUUUGAAGAGAAAAAUUACCUAUCAACAAAGUAAAUAUGCAAGUUUUUUCUUUGGUUUGUUUGUUUUUUAGGAAACUUAAUGUAUUAAGAUUAUGGUUAGAUUAUACAUAUAGAUUUUGUGUAUAGUUUUACAACCCUUGCAAGAUUAUUUCACUCAUGAGACUUCAGUGUAUGCCGAUUAAGAACUUCAAAUUUAGACAUAUACUCUGCACUUGGGCCAAUCCUCAUUGAGCACCAAGGGUCUUUAUCUGCCAUAACAUGGGACCUCGGUUUUUAAGGUUAAUUCAUCCAAAAACAUGCAACUUUCACUUUAUUUAGCCAAUUAAGCCCUUGGUCAGGGAUUAGUUGCAUGAUGCCUAUUUUUUUUAUAUAAUUUUUAGAUAAUUGUUGUGCGCCAUGCAUUUAGUAUGUGUUUUAUGCACCUAUUCUGUGUAAAUAAGUUGACAUAAAAAUCUCCUUUUGUAACCAAGAUAUAUAUGCCUCAAGUUGAAGGAAAUUGUGAGCAUGUAGUUGAUAAGAGCUACGUAUGAACUGCACAGAUGUUGAUAAAUUAUUGUUGGAAGUCAUUUUUAUAAAGUAUGCAUUUUUUUAAAAUUGUUUCAUUGCUACAUUGUGGUGCUAUAGGAGGAGCUAGUAUAUGUGGUUUAAUUGUCAAAAUGAAAAUGCAUGAUAUGCAUUUUGUAAACAACUCAUUCAGAGUGAUUUGAUAUUGAUUUGUAAACAAUUUAUUCCAAGUGAUUUGGUUGUGAUUUGUUAAACAGAAGAGAAUGGUAAACAAUUUAUUCAGAGUGAUUUGGUAGUGAUUUGUUAAUCAGAAGUGAUUUGCUAACAAUUUAUUCAGAGUGAUUUGGUUGUGAUUUGUUUGCAGUUGUAUAUACAUGCAUUGUCUAUACAUUCUAGAAAAUAAAAAAAAAGUGAUUUGCUUACAAUUUGUUAAGAGUGAUUUGUUAGCUCAUUUGCAUGGGAAUUUGCAUCACUUACAAAUCAUCUUCAAAUCAAUGAUUUGUCUGUGAUUUCUUAAAGUGAUUUGUUUGAGGAAUUUUUUCACUUGGGUAUGGAACAUAAGUACAUCUUUACAAGUAGUACGUGUUGAAAUGAAAAGGACCUUUCUGCUUUGCAGUUGGUAAUGGGUAAGGUGAAGCCGAUGAAAAAUUAUAAUUUCUGCAGGUUGGAAAAUAUCUUUAUUGAAUUCCGAC